CUUCAGCGACCACGUAGACGCCGGCCACCACAUCGCGCAACCAGCCACGAUCUCGCCGUCAGUCACCCAAGGCCACCAUUCACGACCAUCAACACCGAGAAACCCAGCUUUGCCACGAUCCCAACCGGAACUGUCAAAAGGCACGCAUACCUCCAUCGUUCUCGCACACCACGCUAGUUCGCCAUUGCCGCCGCCACCAUCCUCGCUGCCUAAGACCGCCGUCACCAUCUCAACGCACCAUCGUUCUCGCGCAACAAGUGCCCAAGGCACCGUGAAACCACGCAACAUCGGACCACCAACCACUAUCUUCUUUGCGAGCGAGCCGCCGCCACAGAGACCAAAUCGCAACCUUUAGAAAACCCAGAAACACAGAAUCCGCACUAUCUCCACACGCCGUAGAACCCAGAAUCGCGAAUCCUUUUCCUCCAUGGCAAUCACGUCGCCGGCCACCAUUACGCAACAAGCAGAUUCAUUCAUCGAAACCUGCAAUCAAAGCCAGACCUGCAACGAGAAAAAUCCACAGAAAACCCAGAGAACGAAACGCCUCUCCCAAUCUCGCGCAGCAGGCGAAGAUAGAAUGGAGCCCCCAAAUCCCUUUACCCCCAAUCUGAAACCCUAAUUUUGGGUGGGGAAGGAAAGGACACGUGGCAGCAUUCCAUUGACACGUCCAUUUGAUUAAACCUUGUCAAAGUCUGGUCAACUGAGGGGUUCUGUUGCAAUUUUGAAGAAUUCUGGAGGGACUAAAGUGCAGAUAUAGGAAACUUUAGGGUAUUUGUGCAAUUUUGGAAAUUCAGAAAAGUUUAAAGAUAAAAUUCAGUUGUUGAAUUAAUUUGGGAAUAUCAACAGAAAAUAUCUUCCAAAUAAUGUUAUAAUUAUCUAAAUCUUUUAGUUAUUUGGAAGAUAUAAGAUAAAAGAUUGUAUCAACUGAAUAUCCAGAGUCCAAGCCCAAUCAAGCCUAUAUAAAGAGACCCAGGGGAGACACAAAGGACACCAUUCAUUCAUCCAUUCAUCCAUCACUGCUCUUACUCUUCUUUCAUUAUGUGUUUCUAAGCUCCUAGGGCUAUUCUGCUGUAAUUUCAUUAUGGAUUCUGAGGUUAAGUGAAUUAAUGCAAUUGUUUAUUUUGAUUAUUGAUUUAAGUUUAUCUCUUUCUAUGUCUUUCAUCUCUCUAUCAUAUUAAAAGCAAAGAUUUUUGCAUCAUUAUGUGUUUGAAUAU
This 1214-nucleotide long non-coding RNA is filed under the name Vigna radiata. RNAcentral's name for it is "long non-coding RNA (VRAD_LNC014773)". The record is from RNAcentral. Lineage: Eukaryota; Viridiplantae; Streptophyta; Magnoliopsida; Fabales; Fabaceae.